GCCUUUUGGCUAAGAUCAAGUGUAGUAUCU
Molecule: non-coding RNA, 30 nt
Filed under: Callithrix jacchus (white-tufted-ear marmoset)
Lineage: Eukaryota; Metazoa; Chordata; Mammalia; Primates; Cebidae
Also listed under: 2 other names
Source: RNAcentral